GCACUGCUGAGGAGUCCUACAGCAGGACGAAACAACCGUCCAGUGC
Non-coding RNA from Schistosoma rodhaini, 46 nucleotides. The record is from Rfam. Lineage: Eukaryota; Metazoa; Platyhelminthes; Trematoda; Strigeidida; Schistosomatidae.